UUUCCUACAGCUCCUUUCUCAUCCUUUUCAUCUUUCUUUUCUUUCUCAACCCUAAGAGCAAGCUAGGGAAGAAAAGCUUGGUGGAGUGGGAUUUCUUGUUGUUGGAGCUGAGAAGAAAUUUGAAGCUGUGAGCAAGUUAAAUUCAACAAAGGGCAAUUUGGAAGAGCACUUAAUUAAGGAAUUUAAGUAGAAGUGGCAGAAUUGGGGAUUUGGGCUGAUUGGAGCCACCAAAGUGGAAAAUUCAGCUAAGCAAGGUUGAAACUUGAGGGAAAAGCCUAAGUGGUGGCUCCUGCCUGGGUGGUGCAGGACUUGGGCACCCCAAGUUGAAGAAGCUUUAGUGGAGCUUCUUUGGUAACUCAAGCUGCAACAAAUCUGGUGGAUCUUGAAAUUUAGGUCGACGACGCGCUAAUCACGGUAGAGACCGUUCUAGUCCCAUUUGCACUGAGUCGCGAGAGAUAGUCGUCGACGCAUUUCGAGACAUUGAUCUUAGUUGAUUGACACCACUACAGGUGGGUGGUGCUAUCCGAAGUCUUUGAAUCACCUUUUAUGUCUAUUAUAUUUCAUUGAGCAUAUUUAUAAUUGUUUAGUCAUGCAUUAUAGGGUAAUUGGCAUUGUGCAAGUGAAAAUGUGAAUUUCUAUCAACAGUGAGAAUUUGUGGACUUUAGAAUAUGGACAUAGAACCCUAUGAAUGUAUGGACUUUAACAAUAGUGAACUUGGUGACAUUCAACUAGAGGUUUGGUUAGCAUCAAGAAAUGAAUUUGUGCAACUAGCAUAAAGAACUAGUUAGAGUAAAGUGUGACAGUGUUUGUCAGUUGAAUCCUCUAAAGGGGGAUCAGAUCAUACUCACAUUUGUUUGGUUCAAGUGAGGUCGCUCCUCCUUGAACGAUGAGCUCCGGAGUAGUCAUCUUUACUGGACCAGGAGGUUGCGUCUCCCCCAGUUGACAGUCCCGUCGGGUGCAGGUUGCGUCUCCCCGAUAUUUGGGAUAGUGUCAGUGAGUGAUUGUUAACCAAAAGGGUUAACCAAUGAAUUGGGUAAAUUCAGUAAAAAGCAUGCAUGCAUAUUUACAGUUUUCCUAUAUGCUUCUUUCAGCUU
Molecule: long non-coding RNA, 1094 nt
Organism: Ananas comosus (pineapple)
Lineage: Eukaryota; Viridiplantae; Streptophyta; Magnoliopsida; Poales; Bromeliaceae
Exons: 4
Source: RefSeq, a predicted model, not a curated record